Molecule: unclassified non-coding RNA, 263 nt
Filed under: plant metagenome
Description: partial contains small subunit ribosomal RNA, internal transcribed spacer 1, and 5.8S ribosomal RNA
Source: RNAcentral
UUUCCGUAGGUGAACCUGCGGAAGGAUCAUUAUUGUAUAACCGAGGUGCGAGGGCUGUCGCUGACCCGAAAGGUCGUGCACACCCGAGUGCCCUCACACACAUCCAUCUCACCCCUAUGUGCACCACCGCGUCGGUCCCCCUUUGGCUGGUUCGGAGGGGGGCUUACGUUUUCACACAAACUUUGUAUGCAGUGUAGAAUGUAUUUUUUGUUUUUGCGAUCACGCAAUCAAUACAACUUUCAACAACGGAUCUCUUGGCUCUC